RNAcentral lists this ribosomal RNA (526 nucleotides) under uncultured bacterium. Its description in RNAcentral is "bacterial SSU rRNA". It matches the Rfam family "Bacterial small subunit ribosomal RNA", at positions 777 to 1302 of the family's 1533-position model. The record is from RNAcentral.
AAUAGAUACCCAGGUAGUCCACGCCGUAAACGAUGAGUGCUAGGUGUCGGGGGGUCGAACCUCGGUGCCGGAGCUAACGCAUUAAGCACUCCGCCUGGGGAGUACGUUCGCAAGAAUGAAACUCAAAGGAAUUGACGGGGACCCGCACAAGCAGCGGAGCAUGUGGUUUAAUUCGAUGCAACGCGAAGAACCUUACCAGGGCUUGACAUCCCUCUGACCGGUGUAGAGAUACACCCUUCUCGUUCGGAGACAGAGGAGACAGGUGGUGCAUGGUUGCCGUCAGCUCGUGUCGUGAGAUGUUGGGUUAAGUCCCGCAACGAGCGCAACCCUUGUCUUUAGUUGCUAACAGGUAAGGCUGAGCACUCUAGAGAGACUGCCGGUGAUAAACCGGAGGAAGGUGGGGAUGACGUCAAAUCAUCAUGCCCUUUAUGUCCUGGGCUACACACGUGCUACAAUGGUCGGUACAAUGGGCGCGACCUAGUGAUAGGAAGCGAAUCCCACAAAGCCGAUCCCAGUUCGGAUUGCG